UACGUAGGGGGCAAGCGUUGUCCGGAAUCAUUGGGCGUAAAGAGCGUGUAGGCGGUUCGGUAAGUCGGCUGUGAAAGUCCAGGGCUCAACCCUGGGAUGCCGGUCGAUACUGCCGGACUAGAGUUCGGAAGAGGCGAGUGGAAUUCCCGGUGUAGCGGUGAAAUGCGUAGAUAUCAAGUGGAACACCAGUGGCGAAGGCGAGUCUCUGGACAUUUCCUGACGCUGAGGCACGAAAGCCAGGGGAGCAAACGGG
Molecule: ribosomal RNA, 253 nt
Filed under: uncultured bacterium
Lineage: Bacteria
Description: partial 16S ribosomal RNA
Rfam family: Bacterial small subunit ribosomal RNA
Source: RNAcentral